AACGAACUCUGGCGGCAUGCCUAACACAUGCAAGUCGAACGAAGCCUUCGGGCUUAGUGGCGCACGGGUGCGUAACGCGUGGGAAUCUGCCCCUUGCUUCUGAAUAACAGUUAGAAAUGACUGCUAAUACCGGAUGAAGUCUUCGGUCCAAAGAUUUAUCGGCAAGGGAUGAGCCCGCGUAGGAUUAGGUAGUUGGUGGGGUAAAGGCCUACCAAGCCGACGAUCCUUAGCUGGUCUGAGAGGAUGAUCAGCCACACUGGGACUGAGACACGGCCCAGACUCCUACGGGAGGCAGCAGUGGGGAAUAUUGGACAAUGGACGCAAGUCUGAUCCAGCAAUGCCGCGUGAGUGAUGAAGGCCUUAGGGUUGUAAAGCUCUUUUACCAGGGAUGAUAAUGACAGUACCUGGAGAAUAAGCUCCGGCUAACUCAGUG
Molecule: ribosomal RNA, 433 nt
Filed under: uncultured bacterium
Lineage: Bacteria
Description: partial 16S ribosomal RNA
Rfam family: Bacterial small subunit ribosomal RNA
Source: RNAcentral